RNAcentral lists this transfer RNA (67 nucleotides) under Balanus trigonus. RNAcentral describes it as "tRNA-Ala". Lineage: Eukaryota; Metazoa; Arthropoda; Thecostraca; Balanomorpha; Balanidae. The record is from RNAcentral.
AAAGUAGAAGUUUAUAUAAUAUUUGACCUGCAAUCAAAAGAAGAUGAAAACGAUUCAUCCUACUUUG